This 837-nucleotide ribosomal RNA is filed under the name uncultured Pseudomonadota bacterium. Its description in RNAcentral is "bacterial SSU rRNA". It matches the Rfam family "Bacterial small subunit ribosomal RNA", at positions 34 to 887 of the family's 1533-position model. The record is from RNAcentral. Lineage: Bacteria; Pseudomonadati; Pseudomonadota.
CGCUGGCGGCAUGCCUAACACAUGCAAGUCGAACGAGAAAGCUUCUUCGGAAGUGAUUAAAGUGGCGCACGGGUGAGUAACGCGUAGACAAUCUGCCCUUCAGUCCGGGACAACUUUCCGAAAGGGGAGCUAAUACCGGAUAACAAUGUUUAACAUAAGUUUAAUAUUUGAAAGCUCCGGCGCUGAUGGAUGAGUCUGCGUCCCAUUAGCUUGUUGGUGCGGUAGUGGCGCACCAAGGCUACGAUGGGUAGCGGGUUUGAGAGGACGAUCCGCCACACUGGAACUGAGACACGGUCCAGACUCCUACGGGAGGCAGCAGUGGGGAAUAUUGCACAAUGGAGGAAACUCUGAUGCAGCAAUGUCGCGUGAGUGAAGAAGGCCCUUGGGUCGUAAAGCUCUUUUAUGGGGGAAGAUAAUGACGGUACCCCAGGAAUAAGCACCGGCUAACUACGUGCCAGCAGCCGCGGUAAUACGUAGGGUGCGAGCGUUGUUCGGAAUUACUGGGCGUAAAGGGCGCGCAGGCGGAGGUGUAAGUCGGAGGUGAAAGCCCGGGGCUCAACCCCGGAGGGUCUUUCGAAACUGCAUCUCUAGAGAGGGUUAGGGGCCGGCAGAAUUCCUGGUGUAGAGGUGAAAUUCGUAGAUAUCAGGAGGAAUACCGGUGGCGAAAGCGGCCGGCUGGGGCCACUCUGACGCUGAGGCGCGAAAGCGUGGGGAGCAAACAGGAUUAGAUACCCUGGUAGUCCACGCCGUAAACGAUGAGCACUGGACGUUCGGAGGGUUCGACCCUUCUGGGUGUUUCAGCUAACGCAUUAAGUGCUCCGCCUGGGGAGUACGGUC